RNAcentral lists this microRNA precursor (74 nucleotides) under Pelodiscus sinensis (Chinese soft-shelled turtle). RNAcentral describes it as "miRNA (ENSPSIG00000019369.1)". Lineage: Eukaryota; Metazoa; Chordata; Testudines; Trionychidae. The record is from RNAcentral.
GUGUGUGUGUGUGUGUGUGUGUGUGUGUGUGUGUGUGUGUGUGUGUGCGCACACACACACACGUCAGCUUACAU